This 292-nucleotide ribosomal RNA is filed under the name uncultured bacterium. Its description in RNAcentral is "partial 16S ribosomal RNA". It matches the Rfam family "Bacterial small subunit ribosomal RNA", at positions 505 to 796 of the family's 1533-position model. The record is from RNAcentral.
GUGUCAGCAGCCGCGGUAAUACGUAGGUGGCAAGCGUUAUCCGGAUUUACUGGGUGUAAAGGGCGUGUAGGCGGCUCCGCAAGUCAGAUGUGAAAUUCCCGGGCUUAACCCGGGCGCUGCAUCUGAAACUGCGGAACUUGAGUACUGGAGAGGAUAGUGGAAUUCCUAGUGUAGCGGUAAAAUGCGUAGAUAUUAGGAGGAACACCAGUGGCGAAGGCGGCUAUCUGGACAGUAACUGACGCUGAGGCGCGAAAGCGUGGGGAGCAAACAGGAUUAGAAACCCCGGUAGUCC